RNAcentral lists this ribosomal RNA (301 nucleotides) under uncultured bacterium. RNAcentral's name for it is "partial 16S ribosomal RNA". It matches the Rfam family "Bacterial small subunit ribosomal RNA", at positions 509 to 807 of the family's 1533-position model. The record is from RNAcentral.
CAGUCGCCGCGGUAAUACGUAGGGUGCAAGCGUUAAUCGGAAUUACUGGGCGUAAAGCGUGCGCAGGCGGUCCGCUAAGACAGAUGUGAAAUCCCCGGGCUUAACCUGGGAACUGCAUUUGUGACUGGCGGGCUAGAGUAUGGCAGAGGGGGGUAGAAUUCCACGUGUAGCAGUGAAAUGCGUAGAGAUGUGGAGGAAUACCGAUGGCGAAGGCAGCCCCCUGGGCCAAUACUGACGCUCAUGCACGAAAGCGUGGGGAGCAAACAGGAUUAGAUACCCGUGUAGUCCCUGUCUCUUAUAC